RNAcentral lists this ribosomal RNA (460 nucleotides) under uncultured bacterium. RNAcentral's name for it is "partial 16S ribosomal RNA". It matches the Rfam family "Bacterial small subunit ribosomal RNA", at positions 338 to 795 of the family's 1533-position model. The record is from RNAcentral.
CCUACGGGAGGCAGCAGUGAGGAAUAUUGGUCAAUGGACGCGAGCCUGAACCAGCCAUGUAGCGUGCAGGAUGACGGCCCUACGAGUUGUAAACUGCUUUUGUACGAGGGUAAACGCAGACACGCGUACCUGUUUGAAAGUACUUUAUGAAUAAGGAUCGGCUAACUCCGUGCCAGCAGCCGCGGUAAUACGGAGGAUCCAAGCGUUAUCCGGAUUUAUUGGGUUUAAAGGGUGCGUAGGCGGUCGGAUAAGUUAGUGGUGAAAUCCCGAGGCUCAACUUCAGAAUUGCAAUUGAUACUGGUCGGCUAGAGAGUAGUUGCGGUAGGCGGAAUGUGUGGUGUAGCGGUGAAAUGCUUAGAGAUCAUACAGAACACCGAUUGCGAAGGCAGCUUACCAAGCUACUUCUGACAUUGAGGCUCGAAAGCGUGGGGAGCAAACAGGAUUAGAUACCCCUGUAGUC